This is a long non-coding RNA of Mus musculus (house mouse), 742 nucleotides long. RefSeq annotates it as predicted gene, 34722. The transcript has 2 exons. Lineage: Eukaryota; Metazoa; Chordata; Mammalia; Rodentia; Muridae. The record is from RefSeq and is a predicted model, not a curated record.
UGCUUCCUCUGCCUCACCUCAUGCCAGUCGGCAAGCCUUGCCAUUCUUUCAGGAUUGAACGACAGCUGCUGGUUCAUGCCUCAUGUCUGCCUGCUGAAAGCACUGGACUGUAGCUGCCGGUUUGUGCCUGGUGUCUGCCUGCCUAGAGGACUGAUCUGCAGCUGCUGAGUCAUAUUUGGUGUUUGCUACGAGACUGAUCUGCUGACAAAGAAAAUCGAGCUCACCCCCAAAGAACUAUUGCUGGGCUUUUCCACUCUGCACCAAACACCACAGGUCAACCUAUGAAGCUGACCAGGAGAACCAAAGUGCUUGGCAGGACUGGUUCACAGAGACAGUGUAUACAGAGGAGCAUGAACCUCGUGGAAGCACCAGCCGCCCAUCAUCCACAGCGUGAAAUGCCUCGUGUGAGACGGUGAUGUGCUCCCCAGGAAGAGGAAGACAGGCUCGGGAUUUUCACUGAACUUCCUGCUUGGUCCAGGAUACCCACCACUUUGCCCAUAGGCCUGCUUCUGCUAACCUGUGGAAAGGGUUCCUGUUCUGACAUUCAAAUGUCUGCUGACAGCGAAGGCUCCAGGAUGCGCACACUGUAGAACACGGCCAGCUCCUUCUAUCACGCCCACAGCCUGGGGAACCUGUGGUCCCUGUGCGAUCUCCAGGGUGAGUCAUGAGCCACACCCCCCAUCACGAUCCCCUCUAUCACAGGGAGAAAUGAUGUCUCAAUAACAACCUAAGGUCACUUGCA